Talpa occidentalis (Iberian mole) is the source of this 595-nucleotide long non-coding RNA. RefSeq lists it as uncharacterized. The transcript is spliced from 4 exons. The record is from RefSeq and is a predicted model, not a curated record. Lineage: Eukaryota; Metazoa; Chordata; Mammalia; Eulipotyphla; Talpidae.
UCUGGUUGCUUGGAGACUGUAUGCAUUUCCACCUCUAUCCAUCUAGCCUUCUAGUCACUCAAAGGCAUGUGUACCAAGCUUUAUAGUUUCCUACAGGAGAAAUACUAAGAAUGACAACUGGUUCCAGACAAUCACAUAAAAAGCCUUUUUAAUUUAUAGUAUUAAUAAACAAUCAGUCUGAGUCGCAGGCCCUGGGAAUUGAGAACUACCUGACACCAGAGUAAUGGGCAACUUCUAGGUCAAAAGGUUGCUUUUAACUAGCAGAAAAUGUGGCUGCGAUACUCUCCAAAAUUCAGAACCUAUGUCCAGAAAUGAAAUGUACCAUAUUGAAGCUGAAUCUUUUAUUGCCAGUUCACUUCCUACCUGUCCUCUGUAUUGCGAAGGGAAGGAAGCCGGAAGCUUGUGUUCCUGUCCAGCUUUGAUUGGCUUUUGGUCCUCUUGAUGGAGCCUUUCAGACGCUUGCUGAAGAAUCCCUGUAAUGGAAAGCAAAAGGUGAUGGGAGAGAAAAAAAUAAAAGAACGCUGCUAUCUUCCUACCUCUCUGUAAAACCUUUGCUAAAGACAUUUAGAUUUUUAUAAUGAAGACUUGAAACAGA